Molecule: ribosomal RNA, 450 nt
Filed under: uncultured Diversisporales
Lineage: Eukaryota; Fungi; Glomeromycota; Glomeromycetes; Diversisporales
Description: eukaryotic LSU rRNA
Rfam family: Eukaryotic large subunit ribosomal RNA (bases 395-450)
Source: RNAcentral
ACUACUAUGUGUGAAUCAUCGAAUCUUUGAACGCACUUUGCACCUUGUGGCUUUUGUCACAAGGUAUACUUGUUUGAGUAUCCAAAACUACCUCACCUCCCUUUCGGGGCGAAGUGGUACUUGAAGAUUCGAUCAUGUAUCACAUACACUAUAUAUUGCAUAUAGAAUGUGUGGUACGGGUGUCGUUUCUUUAAAGGUGGUGGUCAUUUUUGUGGAAGGUCUCCGUCUGGAGCCUGACAGACUAUUGGGAUAACAUCCUGACGAUCGUUUGUCGGUUCUAUCUUGGGCGUUGACUGACCUAGACCAAUGAGAAGACAGUUUUUUAACAGAACAUGGCUUCACCGUCUUGGCAAAACAGACUUUCCAGUUUGCGUUGACAAGACAAAGUAUCAAUGGAUCUCAAAUCAAGUAAGGAUACCCGCUGAACUUAAGCAUAUCAAUAAGCGGAGG